This is a non-coding RNA of Cucurbita pepo subsp. pepo (vegetable marrow), 583 nucleotides long. The record is from RefSeq and is a predicted model, not a curated record. Lineage: Eukaryota; Viridiplantae; Streptophyta; Magnoliopsida; Cucurbitales; Cucurbitaceae.
CAGCCAUUGUUAAGUGCAGAACCAGAAACAUUCAGCGUAUGGGUCUUCAUGUUAAUCCUCUGAGGACUGCGGCUAUGAAUCUCUACAAGAAGUUUGGGUUCCACUACUCUGCGGAUCGAGAUGGCUAUAGAAGGCAGAACAUUUUAUUACAUUAAGAAAAAAAGGAACCAAAUGAAGACAACUAAAAGCGAUUGUCUCAGGUAAGCCUGCAACACAAGCAGCAUAUUAACUUGUAUUGAAUCCUCCCACUGCAGUUUAGGAAAGGAACCAAACCCGAAAACUCGAACCGGUCAUGGAGUUCUUGGUAGCAACAUAAUGUAAAUCAACCCUCCCGUGGAUCAUAGUAAGCUAUUCUCUUCUUGAACUCUGUAGAUCAUGUCAGCACAAGCUUAGUUUGUAGAAUUGAAUAAGAUCAUGUUUAGAGGCUCUUAAAUUUCAAACCCAAAAUUUAUUUUUACUGAUCUGUUCUGAUGUCAUAUUGACAAUAUAAUAUAUAGAAAUCAUCAGUUUCCUAUUGGUAUCUGUUUUUAAAAUCCUUUUCAGAUACGAUUCGUUAGCCACAUGUGUUUUCAUCAUGCCUUGA